Molecule: long non-coding RNA, 1356 nt
Organism: Gasterosteus aculeatus aculeatus (three-spined stickleback)
Lineage: Eukaryota; Metazoa; Chordata; Actinopteri; Perciformes; Gasterosteidae
Source: Ensembl
AGCAGUUUUCUCUGGACUUUAUUUAAUUUUGUUUAUUUUUUGCCAACAAUUAACGUCAGGCUUGAAGCACAGCUGCGGCAUUAGACAUUUUUAUAUAACAGAUUCACCAGAAGAAGCUUAAAAUGUAUGAUUAGCACAAUUGCUUUACACAUUGUACUGCAGUCAGCGAUUAAACAACACAGUGGCAUUUUACAUAAACCUACAGUUUUUUUACAUUCACACAAGCUUUAUUCCGCUUUACAUCAAAUACAAAAAUGAAAUAAAAUAUAUAAUGAAAACAAUGAAUGGAAAAUUACAAAUGCACAAAACUGAGUGGCGGCAGAAGAUUAAAUAAGCAAUCAAUUAAUCUCUACAAACAAUCAGACUGACAAUCAAUAGGAACAUUAGUGACAUCUGACUAUCUGCUCACCUCCUAAAAUCUCAGAUUAAUAAACAUUCAGACGUUUAACCAAAUUAGCUACGGACCAUUAACAUAACACACCACAAACCUGCUGUACACACAGAUGUUUAGCAACCGACAUUGGCUUUAUGACCCUCGUAGCUACUUUUAUAAGCUAACCGAUAACUAAUUAAUGGACUAUCAGGAAAAAAAUAUGGAAUGGUCAAUAAAUCCUAUUGCAUUUCAUCCCGGUGGAUACUGUUCUGUAGUCCACGGCUCCCCUGCCAACAGCUCGCUGCCCCCACCAAACCCUCUUGGGCCGUGCACAAGCGGUCAGAAGGUGUGGCCCAGUCAGGGGGUCAGCAGAUGUACAGAUACAGAUGGGAGAAACGUAUUUAUAACAAAAAGACAUUUAUUAUUUAUUAGACAUAUUAGACAUUAUUUAGAACAUUUAGGAUCUGAACCAAAAAAAUACCCAAUGUGAUUUAUUUCAACUUCUUUCACUUUAAUUUAAUUUUUUGAUUCAUGAUGAGAUCUCGUUAUUGAGUUUUUAAUUAUUUGUCAAGAAUCUGGAAUGUUUUUCUUUUAAAUAAUUGUAAAUCAAAGUGAUCUCAUCUGCUGAUAAAUACCUUCGUAACCAAUAACAAUGACCAUACAGUAAAAUUGGCUGUUGUAGUUUGCUACAGACAGAAAUCACCGGAAGGUGAAAUUACAGGUAGGGUUUAAUUCAAGGUGUGGACCGGACUUGAUUGUAUAGCUUGAGCUCUCCAUUGCCAUUGGUUCAACGUUGAUUGACCAGCAUUGAUCUCUACCAAUUGGAUACCUCUGUUUUCCUUGUUAUUGGCACUUGGUGAAAUGAGGCGGUAAAAUAUUAUAUUAAAAGGUUCUUUUUGACUCUGCCACGCAGAGGAAAACGCAGUGAUAUUUAAUGUAACAAACCGCAUACAACAAACCGAAUUGUUGUUACUUAAGGAAAA